This 1437-nucleotide long non-coding RNA is filed under the name Schizosaccharomyces pombe (fission yeast). The record is from RNAcentral. Lineage: Eukaryota; Fungi; Ascomycota; Schizosaccharomycetes; Schizosaccharomycetales; Schizosaccharomycetaceae.
AAAGUAUACUCAAUUUAUUUUAAUAGACUUUUUUCCAAGUUCUUUUAUACAAUUCUGCUAUUUUGUCCUAUAGAUCGCCUCAACGAACACUCACUACAGAAGAAUUCUUUAGACUUGCACGAUCCCAUCCAUCAUGGAUCCAUCCUGCUGAUUCAGCAAAUGACCACCUCACACCUGCUUUCUUUGGCAUUUAUAUUCGAUCCAUAACUUUCUAACCAUUAAUAUAAUGCUGAAUUCAUGAAUGUUAACAAUCGAUUUCUAAUAAGAAUAGCCAAUCUAUCAAAGUUAAAAGCUCUGGUCAGUUUAAUGGAUUUUCGCUAGUGCAUCAUAGCCUUGAUAUUUCUAAGGUUUCCAUUGGUUGUAAGUUUCUUUCAACUCUUCGUAAAGAACAGUUGUUAGCUAGCUAAUUGAGUGUCUGAAUUUUUUUUUGUUAAUGGGUUCUUAAAAUUGAUGUAUAUGUCCAUUCAUCUUUAUAUAUUUUAUGUACAUGAACUAUUUACAACGCAUUUUGGCAAACCAUGUGUAAACAUUUAUUUUUCUAGUUAGGGGAAGAUGAAGCAGGACUUUUCUUCUUUAAUGUCUUCAAUCUUCCAAUAGUUUAUAAAGAAAGCUUUUUGACAUUGUUUCUUUUUAAAGCGAGGGAAUACCUUUUAUGGCCCUGCCACCGUCUAUAACGUGAUUUGUUUGUUUCGCUAAACGCUCUUAGGAAAACGGAGCUAUCAGAGUGACAUAUAUGACUUAACGAAGCUGUGUAUGGCUCAUGAUCACUAUUUAGAAUUGAAUGAAAACAACCAAUGUCAAUCACAGUGUCGAAAUGCCCCUUGAAUUCAUUUAAUCUUGAAAAAUCGCGUUGAUUAAAGUUGACAUUACUUUUUUCACUAGAUGUUUUAUCGAUUGCUUUAGAAAUAGCCCUUUCGGAAAUAUCAAUACCCACGACUUUAUAUCCAAGACUGGCUAAAUAUCUAGCAUUUCUAUUUGGUUCACAACCGGCAUCUAAUACAUUCUCAUGUAAUUUCCCCAGUUGUACAAGAUUCAUGAUCUAUUCGUCUGGUUUCUCAUUAUCAAAUGGUGUUGCGGGAUCUUCAUACAUAUUUUCCCAAACUAUUUUUUACUUCAGAGAUAUAUUUCUUCAUUGUUCUUAAUGAUAUAUAAAAAAUGGUGAAAUAUUUAUUUAUUGCCCCAUCAUGUUUAUUUUUAUAUCCUUCUUUCUCUGUCAGGAAAUCUAUUUCCGAGCUGACGAUAAAAAAACAUGUUGCAAGUCGCCGAAACUACCUCGGCUUUUAUUACUAUGUCCGAAAAGUGCGCGAAAUAUUGGAAUGGCUUGUAAAUUAUGCAUUUAAUCAAAUAAAGUGAUAGUAAGCGCAAAGUGUAUGACUCAAUGAAAAUCGGGUGUAUCAACUACUCAGUUGUUUACCAUACAAUGUAUUGUAAAUUAUG